CUGAAUGCAAGAAUCCAGUCUCAGAAUGCCGCAUGCUUCAUGAUUCUAUUUACAUCCCAUUGCCAAUAGACAAAAUUACAGUGAUGGAGAACAGACCAAUGGCUGCCCAGGGUUGCAGGGGAAUUGAGUAUUUCACUAUGAAGAGGUCUCCAGCUUGGCAGCCUAUGCUGAAGAUUUUGGAUUUGUCAGCUUCCACAAUCAUGUGAGCCAGCCUGGGUGUGCUGGCUUAUGCUUGUAAUCCCAGCACUUUGGGAGGCCGAGGCAGGAGGAUAACUUCAGCCCAGGAGUUUGAGACCAGCCUGGAUAAUGGACAGGAAGUGGGGAAAUCACUGACCUUUGACUUAAGAGGAAAC
RNAcentral lists this long non-coding RNA (353 nucleotides) under Homo sapiens (human). RNAcentral's name for it is "HSALNT0345537". Lineage: Eukaryota; Metazoa; Chordata; Mammalia; Primates; Hominidae. The record is from RNAcentral.